Molecule: ribosomal RNA, 253 nt
Filed under: uncultured bacterium
Lineage: Bacteria
Description: partial 16S ribosomal RNA
Rfam family: Bacterial small subunit ribosomal RNA
Source: RNAcentral
UACGUAGGGGGCAAGCGUUGUCCGGAAUCAUUGGGCGUAAAGCGCGCGUAGGCGGCCCGGUAAGUCCGCUCUGAAAGUCCAGGGCUCAACCCUGGAAAGCGGGUGGAUACUGCCGGGCUCGAAUCCGGAAGAGGCGAGUGGAAUUCCUGGUGUAGCGGUGGAAUGCGUAGAGAUCCGGAAGAACACCGGUGGCGAAGGCGGUUAGCUGGGCAGUUGCUGACACUGAGGCGCGACAGCGUGGGGAGCAAACAGG